GGCUGGCUGGCUCAGUUGGUAGAGCAUGCGACUCUUGAUCUCAGGGUUGUGAGUUUGAGCCCUACGUUGGGCA
RNAcentral lists this transfer RNA (73 nucleotides) under Ailuropoda melanoleuca (giant panda). It matches the Rfam family "tRNA". Rfam says of the family: Transfer RNA (tRNA) molecules are approximately 80 nucleotides in length. Their secondary structure includes four short double-helical elements and three loops (D, anti-codon, and T loops). The record is from Rfam by way of RNAcentral. Lineage: Eukaryota; Metazoa; Chordata; Mammalia; Carnivora; Ursidae.